GGUGGCUCAGUGGUAGAGUGCUUGCCUUGCAUGCAUAAGGCCCUGGGUUUGAUUCUCAGCACCA
RNAcentral lists this transfer RNA (64 nucleotides) under Dipodomys ordii (Ord's kangaroo rat). It matches the Rfam family "tRNA". Rfam says of the family: Transfer RNA (tRNA) molecules are approximately 80 nucleotides in length. Lineage: Eukaryota; Metazoa; Chordata; Mammalia; Rodentia; Heteromyidae. The record is from Rfam by way of RNAcentral.